RNAcentral lists this transfer RNA (85 nucleotides) under Felis catus (domestic cat). It matches the Rfam family "tRNA". From Rfam's summary of the family: Transfer RNA (tRNA) molecules are approximately 80 nucleotides in length. Their secondary structure includes four short double-helical elements and three loops (D, anti-codon, and T loops). The record is from Rfam by way of RNAcentral. Lineage: Eukaryota; Metazoa; Chordata; Mammalia; Carnivora; Felidae.
GCCUGGGUGGCUCAGUCAGUUGAGCAUCCGACUUCAGCUCAGGUCAUGAUCUCACGGUUUGUGGGUUCGAGCCCCGCGUCAGGCU